Molecule: ribosomal RNA, 1350 nt
Filed under: uncultured prokaryote
Description: partial 16S ribosomal RNA
Rfam family: Archaeal small subunit ribosomal RNA
Source: RNAcentral
UCGCCCUUCGGUUGAUCCUGCCGGAGGCUACCGCUAUUGGAGUUCGAUUAAGCCAUGCGAGUCGCGAGAAAUUAGAUUCUCGGCGUACCGCUCAGUAACACGUGGGUAACCUGCCCUAUGCUGGGGAAUAACCUCGGGAAACUGAGAAUAAUGCCCCAUAGUUCACCACACCUGGAACGGUGGGUGGAUGAAAGCUCCGGCGGCAUAGGAUGGGCCUGCGGCGUAUCAGGUUGUAGGGGGUGUAAUGUACCCUCUAGCCAUCUACGCGUACGGGUGUUGAGAGACAUCGCCCGGAGAUGGAUUCUGAGACACGAAUCCAGACCCUACGGGGUGCAGCAGGCGCGAAAACUUGGCAAUGCGAGCAAUCGUGACCAGGGAACUCCAAGUGCAUCGGGUAAGACCGGUGCUUUUCUUGACUCUAAAUAGGUCUUGGAAUAAGGGGUGGGUAAGGACGGUGCCAGCCGCCGCGGUAAUACCGGCGCCUCAAGUGGUAGUCGCUUUUAUUGGGCCUAAAACGUCCGUAGCCUGUUUGGUACAUUCGUGGGUAAAUCAACCAGCUCAACUGAUUGAAUUCUGCGAGCACGGCCAGACUUGGGACCGGGAGAGGUGUGGGGUACGCUCAGGGUAGGGGUAAAAUCCUGUCAUCCUGAGCGGACCACCUGUUGCGAAGGCGCCACACUAGAACGGAUCCGACGGUCAGGGACGAAGCCUAGGGGCACGAACCGGAUUAGAUACCCGGGUAGUCCUAGGUGUAAACGCUGUGGACUUGGUGUUGGGGAUUCUCCGAGGAUUCUCAGUGCCGAAGCGAAGGUGUUAAGUUUACCGCCUGGGAAGUACGUACGCAAGUAUGAAACUUAAAGGAAUUGGCGGGGGAGCACCACAAGGGGUGAAGCCUGCGGUUCAAUUGGAGUCAACGCCAGAAAUCUUACCCGGAGAGACAGCAGAAUGAAGGUCAAGCUGAAGACUUUACCAGACAAGCUGAGAGGUGGUGCAUGGCCGUCGCCAGCUCGUGCCGUGAGAUGUCCUGUUAAGUCAGGUAACGAGCGAGAUCCCUGCCUCUAGUUGCCACCAUUACUCUCAGGAGUAGUGGGGCGAAUUAGCGGGACCGCCGCAGUUAAUGCGGAGGAAGGAAGGGGCCACGGCAGGUCAGUAUGCCCCGAAACUCUGGGGCCACACGCGGGCUGCAAUGGUAAUGACAAUGGGUUCCGAAUCCGAAAGGAGGAGGUAAUCCCCAAACAUUACCACAGUUAUGACUGAGGGCUGCAACUCGCCCUCACGAAUAUGGAAUCCCUAGUAACUGCGUGUCAUUAUCGCGCGGUGAAUACGUCCCUGCUCCUUGCACACACCGCC